GUGUGAAACCUGGACAAACAAUGUGGCCUUGAGUCCACGGGUUCCAAAAUGAAUCUUGUCAUCAGGUUGAAAGAGCAGAUGAAAAGUCGCAGUGCUUUUGACAAGGUCUUUUCAAAAGUGUGGGGUGCAUCUGGGUGUUCCACCUAGUUGAGUUCACCGUCAACAAAACUGUAGCAGUGGUGCCCGAGAACUGGUACAGUGAUGGCGUGACCUGUUGGCCGAAUUAUAAAAGUGAUGCAAGCGUGAACCGGGCAAAGGAGCCGGGACCUGAAUGGGAAACGUAUGAUGUCCGAAUUCUUAAAUCAUGUGAUCAGUACUUCGAGGCAAGACAACACCUAAAUAAGUCACGUCAUGCCACACUUCCAACCUGCAGACAGAAGAAGAGGAAGAGGACAUGCGACCCAAGAGGAAGCCAAAGGCGAUUCAUUUUUGGGGGGGAUUCUGAUGACAGUGAAGACGAACAUCCAAGAAAGAAAUCCAGAAGCCAAUCCAAAACAUCAGUACAGCCACCAGCUCCUGCUGUCCCGCCACCACCAUCUCCUGCUGUUGAACCAUCACCAUGCCAACAACAAACCUUGUCUGCAAGCCAGGUGCACACACUUACUUGGCGAGGGAGAAG
Molecule: non-coding RNA, 619 nt
Organism: Nothobranchius furzeri (turquoise killifish)
Lineage: Eukaryota; Metazoa; Chordata; Actinopteri; Cyprinodontiformes; Nothobranchiidae
Source: RefSeq, a predicted model, not a curated record